AAAAUACAAUAACAAGCAUUCCAGGAAAAUCCCUUUACUGCCUUCAACAAUCAACAAAACCUGUACAACAUUGUAACCUAUAAAAGGCCCUAAAAUGACAAAUUUAUAAAGCAAGAAGACUAACUACAUAGCAAUAAACAAAACAAAAAAACUAAAACAAAUAUGGUCGACAACAGCAGAAGACAACCACUGAAUUACACUGACUUAGGACAGGCACAUACAGAAUGUGACAGGGUUAAAGUUUUAUGCUGGGAACAAACCAUCCACCCAAUCAUGGACAGUGGUGUAAUUGUACAACAUCAGAACUAA
RNAcentral lists this long non-coding RNA (309 nucleotides) under Mytilus galloprovincialis (Mediterranean mussel). The record is from RNAcentral. Lineage: Eukaryota; Metazoa; Mollusca; Bivalvia; Mytilida; Mytilidae.